Molecule: ribosomal RNA, 330 nt
Filed under: uncultured Bacteroidota bacterium
Lineage: Bacteria; Pseudomonadati; Bacteroidota
Description: bacterial SSU rRNA
Rfam family: Bacterial small subunit ribosomal RNA
Source: RNAcentral
GAUGAACGCUAGCGGCAGGCUUAAUACAUGCAAGUCGAGGGGCAGCAUGACUGUAGCAAUACAGUUGAUGGCGACCGGCAAACGGGUGCGGAACACGUACAGAACCUUCCUUCGAGCGGGGAAUAGCCCAGAGAAAUUUGGAUUAAUACCCCAUAGUACAUUAGAGUGGCAUCACUUUGAUGUUAAAGAUUUAUCACUUGAAGAUGGCUGUGCGGCUGAUUAGGUAGUUGGCGGGGUAACGGCCCACCAAGCCUGCGAUCAGUAACUGGUGUGAGAGCACGACCAGUCACACGGGCACUGAGACACGGGCCCGACUCCUACGGGUGGCUG